GCAAGUCGAGCGCGCCCUUCGGGGUGAGCGGCGGACGGGUGAGUAACGCGUGGGAACGUACCCUUUUCUACGGAAUAGCCUUUGGAAACGAAGAGUAAUACCUUAUACGCCCUUCGGGGGAAAGAUUUAUCGGAGAUGGAUUGGCCCGCGUUAGAUUAGAUAGUUGGUGGGGUAACGGCCUACCAAGUCUACGAUCUAUAGCUGGUUUUAGAGGAUGAUC
Molecule: ribosomal RNA, 220 nt
Filed under: uncultured bacterium
Lineage: Bacteria
Description: partial 16S ribosomal RNA
Rfam family: Bacterial small subunit ribosomal RNA
Source: RNAcentral